AAAUCCGGUUCACUUUAACACUGAGGCGUGACGACGAGGCACUACGGUGCUGAAGCAACAAAUGCCCUGCUUCCAGGAAAAGCCUCUAAGCAUCAGGUAACAUCAAAUCGUACCCCAAACCGACACAGGUGGUCAGGUAGAGAAUACCAAGGCGCUUGAGAGAACUCGGGUGAAGGAACUAGGCAAAAUGGUGCCGUAACUUCGGGAGAAGGCACGCUGACACGUAGGUGAAGUGAUUUACUCAUGGAGCUGAAGUCAGUCGAAGAUACCAGCUGGCUGCAACUGUUUAUUAAAAACACAGCACUGUGCAAACACGAAAGUGGACGUAUACGGUGUGACGCCUGCCCGGUGCCGGAAGGUUAAUUGAUGGGGUCAGCGCAAGCGAAGCUCCUGAUCGAAGCCCCGGUAAACGGCGGCCGUAACUAUAACGGUCCUAAGGUAGCGAAAUUCCUUGUCGGGUAAGUUCCGACCUGCACGAAUGGCGUAAUGAUGGCCAGGCUGUCUCCACCCGAGACUCAGUGAAAUUGAACUCGCUGUGAAGAUGCAGUGUACCCGCGGCAAGACGGAAAGACCCCGUGAACCUUUACUAUAGCUUGACACUGAACAUUGAGCCUUGAUGUGUAGGAUAGGUGGGAGGCUUUGAAGUGUGGACGCCAGUCUGCAUGGAGCCGACCUUGAAAUACCACCCUUUAAUGUUUGAUGUUCUAACGUGGACCCGUUACCCGGGUUGCGGACAGUGUCUGGUGGGUAGUUUGACUGGGGCGGUCUCCUCCUAAAGAGUAACGGAGGAGCACGAAGGUUGGCUAAUCCUGGUCGGACAUCAGGAGGUUAGUGCAAUGGCAUAAGCCAGCUUGACUGCGAGCGUGACGGCGCGAGCAGGUGCGAAAGCAGGUCAUAGUGAUCCGGUGGUUCUGAAUGGAAGGGCCAUCGCUCAACGGAUAAAAGGUACUCCGGGGAUAACAGGCUGAUACCGCCCAAGAGUUCAUAUCGACGGCGGUGUUUGGCACCUCGAUGUCGGCUCAUCACAUCCUGGGGCUGAAGUAGGUCCCAAGGGUAUGGCUGUUCGCCAUUUAAAGUGGUACGCGAGCUGGGUUUAGAACGUCGUGAGACAGUUCGGUCCCUAUCUGCCGUGGGCGCUGGAGAACUGAGGGGGGCUGCUCCUAGUACGAGAGGACCGGAGUGGACGCAUCACUGGUGUUCGGGUUGUCAUGCCAAUGGCACUGCCCGGUAGCUAAAUGCGGAAGAGAUAAGUGCUGAAAGCAUCUAAGCACGAAACUUGCCCCGAGAUGAGUUCUCCCUGAGACUUAAAGUCUCCUGAAGGAACGUUGAAGACGACGACGUUGAUAGGCCGGG
RNAcentral lists this ribosomal RNA (1353 nucleotides) under Salmonella enterica subsp. enterica serovar Enteritidis. RNAcentral describes it as "partial 23S ribosomal RNA". It matches the Rfam family "Bacterial large subunit ribosomal RNA", at positions 1538 to 2865 of the family's 2925-position model. Lineage: Bacteria; Pseudomonadati; Pseudomonadota; Gammaproteobacteria; Enterobacterales; Enterobacteriaceae. The record is from RNAcentral.